This 896-nucleotide unclassified non-coding RNA is filed under the name Hevea brasiliensis (rubber tree). Lineage: Eukaryota; Viridiplantae; Streptophyta; Magnoliopsida; Malpighiales; Euphorbiaceae. The record is from RNAcentral.
CUCCUCUGUCAGUGGUUCUCCAUUUUUCUUGCCCUCGCUACUGCUGGUCUUACUUUCUGUCACUAGCUCUUUCUCUUCAGGUAUGAUUCUACAAUUGUUGAUUAGAUUGUUUGCUCUUUUCCAUUUGUGGUGCAUCUUAUCUUUCAUUUGGAUAAAUUGAUUUUGAUAUAUGUUCCACUUUGUGUUUUUGAACAGUUGAUGAUGUGUAAUUAUGCACUUUAUUCUUUUUCAUGUUUACCAGAUUUUUCUUGCCACGAUAAUGAUUCAACAACUGUUAUUAUUUUGGUGUUCCUCAGGGUCUUCCUUUGGAUAUUUUAGCCUCGUUAUUAAAUUUGUUGUUGUCAGCGAGGGUGGUGUGCAAUGAUUGAUUAAAGAAAAUGAUGGAUUGUGAGAUUGAACAAGGGGAAAAGUGAAAAAGAAAAAGAAAAAAAAUGCAAAUGGCAGCUAUGAACCUAGGUGAGAGAAGGGUAUUAAGGAAAGGGUAUUCCAUGAAAAUCUAUGAUCAUACUUUUGUGCCAGAAAAAUGCAAUGGAACUUUAAUGCAUAUAAAGGAUUUAUUGUUUGAUGAUAGUUUGCCAUAUGCCUAUACAAUUUAGAUAUUUGAAGCAAUGUUUGUUUCUGUGGUUUGUUUUUAGCAGUCCAUAAUGUAGGUUCUGCACUUAGUUUAAAUUCUACUACUAAGAAAUAUUUUAGUUGUUUAUAGGCUGCAAUUUAUGUAAUAAACCCAAUAUAAAGAUUAAAGUGUUCCUCCCUAAUUCUACAAACCCAUAUGCAUUUUGAAGUACCACACAUUCUUAGAACACAAUUACGAUACUAAAUGUGGUGUCAAAUGGUCUGUUAGUUGGCACUGAGAAAAAUGUGUAACAGCAAAGCCAGGCCUGUUGGAAUAGAUAUAU